Molecule: long non-coding RNA, 408 nt
Organism: Aegilops tauschii subsp. strangulata
Lineage: Eukaryota; Viridiplantae; Streptophyta; Magnoliopsida; Poales; Poaceae
Source: RefSeq, a predicted model, not a curated record
UUCAUAGAGGCACAAGCAUCCCGUUUGUAGCAACUUAGUCCGUACGCCUGCAAGUUUGGAACCAAGACAUGAAGAACAUGAAGAUUUUAUUCUUCGCACUUGCGCUCCUCAUGCUAUCGACAGAUACGGCAACCUCACUCGCAUGCAGGUUCGUCUACAAAGAUGGCCCAUGUCAAAUCGAUGAAUGUAGAGCCUACUGUAAUCAGUUUUUUAGAGUGGAGCCCUCACCCAAAAAUCCAGACAUGUGCAUUCCUCGGGGAUGCAAGUGUGUAAUAUGUGGAGGGAUACAAGAAGGGAUGGGGAUGUAGGAGGAGGAUUUGUGGUAUAUGGGACAUAUACACCCUAUAUGUAUUUUUUUUAGUAAUUCAACAAAAAGUCAAAAAUUCCUGAAAAUAUUUUUGAAAUAAA